Non-coding RNA from Struthio camelus australis, 2519 nucleotides. NCBI's taxonomy places the organism in Eukaryota, Metazoa, Chordata, Aves, Struthioniformes, Struthionidae. The record is from RefSeq and is a predicted model, not a curated record.
AAAUUGGGUUUUAGGUUUUAAUUUAAAAAUGAAUAAAUAAAUGAAGCUGACCUGAAAAGUAACGCCGGGGAUUUUGGGGGGCAGCAAACAGUUUUCCUAAGCAAGAGGCAGAGGCGCUGAAGCGGAGGGCUCGGAGGGGCAGGUUACCACAGAGGUUUGGGAGGGGGAUGUUUGGCCAGGGCAAGGAGGGGAGCAGGGGAGCGGGGGCACCCCCAGCCCCCCGUGCCUGCUCUCCUGAAACCCUGUCCCGAUUCCUUUCCAGGGUACGCCGCCUGGCCGGGCCGCCGGCUGCCCUGCAGCUGGGCCGAGCAGCGCGCUUCUCUCCGGACGUAACAUGCCAGGUUCUCCUCCGCCAAGUGACGCACAGGUCGGGCCCCGGCUCAGUUUUUGCAGAGCGGAGACGCUGCGUGGGAUUAUCCCCUCCGCCCCCUAAAAUAGCGAUCUUUCAGACCCGUUAGCACACUCUAAAGGAGAAAAAUCCAGAGCUGCUGGUCCUUGCUUCACCAAGAGGAACUGUUGUUGAAUGUUAGGAAACAAAAUCUAUGGAUCUGUGGAUCUGUCCCUUAGAGAUAACUACAGCUGCAAGAACUGCACUUCUGAAAGCAGUACAAACAUGACAGAAGCUUCUGUGGACACGUAUAGUACAAGGUUUGGUUUGAACUCAGAAACCUCUUCUGGAAUUUUAAUAUCUCCUUAAAUAAGCUCACAAAAAAGAGAUGUUCUGCAAAGGGGACUUUGCAUCAAUUAUUUUAAGCCUUCCAAAAAGGAGCAUGUGCAAGUUUCCCACAUCCGUUUUUGUGACUGCGAAGACCCCGACUUCAUCCCUGUGGAAUUGUAACAGUGAGGCCUUGACCCUCUGCUGGGAUAUGAUAGCUCUGAUGUCUGUAUACAUGUCUUACAUCUGAAUGUCCAAACCAUGACCUUACCCAAAGAUCCAAGAGUGGCAGAUUUUGCAGAGCAAGGAGCAAUGGAUUCCUCUUUCCGUGUUGGCUUUGGCUGGAGGUUUUACACAAUUCCACAUCUGCAGCCUGAACCAUCGCUGCCUCUGUGCUGGCACUCCUGGGACUGCUGUGGAAUACAAGUCACUGGCAGGUGUGAAAUACAGCCCUUCAUUUUGGGGUCUGAAGGAUGGACUCAGUAUUUUAUGAUGUCUUGGGCCUGAGAGUGGGCUAUAAGAUCUGCUGAUGUUCCUGCUUGUCAUAUUUUCUAUUUUUUGUGCAUGCUUUCUUUGUAUCUUGUUUCUCCUCCCACAAGGACUCUGAAAACCUUUUUGUCUUUUUCUUUUGAAUAUUCCUAUAAAGGUGGGGAGCCAUUUUGGAGUCCUUUUGUUUUCUACCCAUAACUUUUUUCCCUUGAGCUUCUUAGUGUCAGGAAAGGUACUAUGACAAUCUGUACCUGUCACUAAGGCAUAGUCACGUUUUUCUUUUAUUUGAUUUCUGCUAUAUCAUUUUUGGGAUGAGAUCACAAACCUGCAUAUACUGUUGAAAGGGAGGAUGCACCAGUGGUUUAGAUAUUAGCAUUAUAAAUUCAAUAAUAUUACAAAUUUCCUUCUUAUUACAUCUUAAUGUCUUAUCAUGAUUUUUAUAUACUGGCUGCACAUUGAACAAAUGUCUCUAUUCAGUUCUUCUUGAUGACUCCUUGAUUUUCUUUUCCCUGAGAUCUUAUAACUAAUUCAGAAGUUAUCAGUGCAUAGGAGGAGUUUAAAUUGUUCUUUCCAAUGUGCACUACCUUGCAAUGUUCUACAUUCAGUUUAAUCUGGUCAUCAUGUCAUCCAGUUGCUUUGUUAUAAUAGGUCCUUGUGGAGCUCUUCAGAACUGUUUAUCCUGUUGCCUUUUCUGUCAACAUAAUAACACAGAACACUUUAACAGGAGUUAGGAGAUCAAUAUGUUACCCUAAUGGAAAAGUUUUAUUCAAGCUAAUAGAAAUACAAACAGUAGGCCUCCACAUAAAUUAUUAUUAAAAACACGUUUCUGUUUUUAAAAAUGAUGUUUUUGUUCUGGGUUUUUAAAUUAUGCCUAACAUAACCAUUUAUUUUGGAUGAAAUGUAGUUGACAGUUCAAAAGAAUAAGAUACCAUGGAAAGUUUAUGUUUUCCUGUGGCAUUGUAUAGGUCUCUUCCAUAAGACUAUAGUCACAAUCAACAUUAAAAUAUAUUAAUCAGUUUGAAUAACAAAAUGUACCUUCCUUGAGAAAAUCAAGAAAAAAAGUUUGUAAAUUUUAGAAAGGCCCUAUUAAAGAGACCAAUAGAUUAAAAAGAACCCUUGAAGAUGACAGUAUUGAACGAUUCAUGGCUUGGCAGAUGUUCUCUUAAUCAUCAGUCAUGAACGGUAUAUGUGUACCCUUUUAUCUGAAAUAUCUUCACUACCGUAUCGGGUCCCUUAUUGCUCUAGGUUUUUGAUGGUUUUCUAGCUUUGGCUAGAAAUGUUGACUUUUAAAAUUUUGACUUACUUGCAUUUAUUGUCAAUGCUUCUGCUCUCACUAAGCUUUUAAUUAAUGAUACAACAAAUGUUCUGUUUUGAA